GGAUGCUCUGCAGCCUGAACCUCUGCAGGCCAUGCUGUCUGUCACUCACCGUGUCUGCAGCACGGGGCUCCUCCCGCUUCUCUUUCUCUUCGGGGGUUCGAAGCCAAGGUCUCCAGAAGCCCUCGGACCUGCAGGAUGGCAAGCGCAAACCGCGCGUAAAGAACGUGAGCCCGGCCACAGCACACAGCCAGCCCGGCCACAGCACACAACCAGGACCGAACACGGCAAGGGCAGCGGGCACAGGGCGAGGGCUGAGGUGAAGGGUGCUUGGGGAUGAGCCGGGGCCAGGCGGUCCUCUGGCUCCGCGGGCAGCGGGCACGGAGAGAGGAUGGAGCUGUGAACAGAAGUGUGAAGGAAUGGGGCAUCGCCAUGGCUCACUGCUGCUGUUGCCACCGUGUGCCUCCAGACGAUGCUGGCUUCGCUAAUAAUCAGAGGGCAUUUCGUGUUCAUCUCUUCUUCGUGGUUUUAUGAAAACUGUGCAGAUCUUUUUCAGCUGGAAGACCAUAUUCUUCGUCUGAGGUGGCAUUUGCAAGCUUGGGGCGCUGGAGAAUGUUCCCAGGUUGAAGAUGAAGAUAACAGUUGUGACAAAAACUCACUUAGACGUGAGCAGAGCUGGUGUGUGUUGUUUUAAAGCAAGAAGGUGCUCACAGAUGGCUCAGAGAGAGACUUAGCAAGUCUGUGCUAAUCACACUCAUGCAUGGGAAUGCCUCUACUGAA
Arvicola amphibius (Eurasian water vole) is the source of this 717-nucleotide long non-coding RNA. RefSeq lists it as uncharacterized. NCBI's taxonomy places the organism in Eukaryota, Metazoa, Chordata, Mammalia, Rodentia, Cricetidae. The transcript has 3 exons. The record is from RefSeq and is a predicted model, not a curated record.